Molecule: ribosomal RNA, 1415 nt
Filed under: uncultured organism
Description: partial 16S ribosomal RNA
Rfam family: Bacterial small subunit ribosomal RNA
Source: RNAcentral
UGAACGCUGGCGGCGUGCUCAACACAUGCAAGUCGAACGAGAAAGCUCCUUCNGGGAGUGAGUACAGUGGCGAACGGGUGCGUAACACGUUGGUGACCUGCCUUGAGGAGGGGGACAACCGUGGGAAACCACGGCUAAUACCCCGGAUGUCUAAACUGUUAGAGGGUUUAGACUAAAACUUCGGUGCCUCAGGAGGGGCCUGCGGGCUAUCAGCUUGUUGGUGGGGUAAUGGCCUACCAAGGCUAAGACGGCUAGGGGGCGUGAGAGCGCGACCCCCCACAAUGGAACUGAGACACGGUCCAUACUCCUACGGGAGGCAGCAGUGAGGAAUAUUGCGCAAUGGGGGAAACCCUGACGCAGCAACGCCGCGUGACCGAUUGAAGCUUUUAGGAGUGUAAAGGUCUGUCGUGAGGGAAGAAAAAGACCGAGAAUAAUAAGUUCGGUAAUUGACGGUACCUCACAAGCAAGCUCCGGCUAACUUCGUGCCAGCAGCCGCGGCAAUACGAGGGGAGCAAGCGUUGUCCGAAAUAACUGGGCGUAAAGGGUACGUAGGCUUUUUUGUAUGUUUCCGGUGAAAUUCACAGGCUCAACUUGUGACUUGCCGGAAAAACUGCAGAGAUUGAAUCCGGAAGGGGAAAGCGGAAUUCCUGGUGUAGCGGUGAAAUGCGUAGAUAUCAGGAGGAACACCAGUGGCGAAGGCGGCUUUCUGGUCCGGAAUUGACGCUGAGGUACUAAAGCGUGGGUAGCAAACAGGAUUAGAUACCCUGGUAGUCCACGCCCUAAACGAUGGAUACUUGAUGUCGGGAUGUUCGGUCGUCUCGGUGUCGUAGCUAACGUGUUAAGUAUCCCGCCUGGGGACUACGGUCGCAAGACUGAAACUCAAAGGAAUUGACGGGGGCCCGCACCAGCGGUGGAACAUGUGGUUUAAUUCGAUGCAACGCGAAGAACCUUACCUGGGCUUGACAUAUAUAUGAAGUAUGUAAGAAAUUAUGUAUUCUGUCUGCAUUUGCAGGUAGCAUAUAUACAGGUGAUGCAUGGCUGUCGUCAGCUCGUGUCGUGAGAUGUAGGGUUAAGUCCCUUAACGAACGCAACCCUUGCUUUUAGUUGCCAUCAGGUAAUGCUGGGGACUCUAGAAGGACUGCCGAGGUUAACUCGGAGGAAGGUGGGGAUGACGUCAAGUCAGUAUGUCCCUUAUGUCCAGGGCUACACACGUGUUGCAAUGGACGGUACAGAGUGCAGCUACGCCGUGAGGCUACGCAAAUCACUUAAAGCCGUUCCCAGUUCGGAUUGGAGUCUGCAAUUCGACUCCAUGAAGUUGGAAUCGCUAGUAAUCGCAGAACAGCAUGCUGCGGUGAUACGUUCCCGGGCNUUGUACACACCGCCCGUCACGCCAUGGAAGUUGGGAGUACCCAAAG